GACGAGGGGUCCUAGCGUUGUUCGGAAUCAUUGGGCGUAAAGCGUGUGUAGGCGGCCAUUCAAGUCAGUUGUGAAAGCCCCGGGCUCAACCCGGGAAGUGCUUCUGAUACUGUUUGGCUUGAGUACUGGAGAGGAUAGUAGAAUUCCUGGUGUAGUGGUGAAAUACGUAGAUAUCAGGAGGAAUACCGGUGGCGAAGGCGGCUAUCUGGCCAUGUACUGACGCUGAAACACGAAAGCGUGGGGAGCAAACAGG
Molecule: ribosomal RNA, 253 nt
Filed under: uncultured bacterium
Lineage: Bacteria
Description: partial 16S ribosomal RNA
Rfam family: Bacterial small subunit ribosomal RNA
Source: RNAcentral